RNAcentral lists this ribosomal RNA (253 nucleotides) under uncultured bacterium. RNAcentral's name for it is "partial 16S ribosomal RNA". It matches the Rfam family "Bacterial small subunit ribosomal RNA", at positions 524 to 776 of the family's 1533-position model. The record is from RNAcentral.
UACAGAGGUCUCAAGCGUUGUUCGGAUUCAUUGGGCGUAAAGGGUGCGUAGGUGGCGCGGUAAGUCGGGUGUGAAAUUUCGGAGCUUAACUCCGAAACUGCAUUCGAUACUGCCGUGCUUGAGGACUGGAGAGGGGACUGGAAUUUACGGUGUAGCAGUGAAAUGCGUAGAGAUCGUAAGGAAGACCAGUGGCGAAGGCGGGUCUCUGGACAGUUCCUGACACUGAGGCACGAAGGCCAGGGGAGCAAACGGG